UAAAAGAUAUAGCGGGAACGUCUGAACGUGAUUGGGAAGAUUAAUUGCACGAAGCAUCACGCGCAUCUCCAAAGCGUGGCAAGAUAAACGUGAACAGGACCAGCUUGCAAUCAAUAAGCAUAUAGAAUUGAUUUUGUGAUAUAUCGCUUCCACCGAUGUGAAUGAUUGUUUGUUUUCUAGAGGAUCGUACCUAUUCAAGGUGAUACGACGUGAUUUUAACAAGAAUUUUUCUUCUUCUGAGGCCGUGUUCUGAUCAAAUUCCAGUCAUGUUAAAAUGACACAUUGCACCAAGAGUAACAGAAUAGUUGCGCGGGAUUUUCCCGAUAUUUUUAUUAGAUAUAAUUAUCUUGGCGAACAAGUUAUUCUGCGUCGUGGAGUGUGCAUCAGAUUAAUGAAAACAGCUGGAAAUUGCCAUCAUCUGCGAGAAAAUACGGGAUGCAGAGUCUACUAAGUGCUUUACGAUACAUGUAAUGCAGCUAUGAAUAUGACAAAGAACGUGGUGACUGACGACGGGAUGUCAGAAAAUGACGUCAGUAUCGGAAAUAUCUUCGGUCUGCUGGCGCCAAUUUUAGUUGUCAUUGUGAUGUGUAUUAUUUUAGUUCUGUCAUUUUAUAAAUUUCACAAAAGAUUACACAACAAAAAAGAGCACCAUAUAGACUAUAUAAGGGCAAAUCUUCCAUUAAAACGUCCGAGAAUCUCACCUCCCAAUAUGACUACGUUUAACGCGUUCGAUUGGAAAUCUCUCAACGCUGGAUAUCUGUAUGAAGGUGUUCCACACGAAGACUAUGUUGACUGUGAUACACAAACUGUGAAAAUGGAAGGUUCAAACAAUAGAACUGUGGACUUUACCAUUACAGAAAAGCUUGACCUUAAGUGUUCGAAGGUGAAGAAGUCACUUGGUACUCGGUGCAAAUCUGGUGACAAAUUUGAUAGGUACCAAUUCGAACUCGUCCCCACGAUAUGUCAACCUGAAUCUGAUUAUUUACCCGGGGAUGAAAUAUUUUAUUGACAAAAACAGAAGAAAAAAAUCAAUUUUCAGGCAGUGAAUUAUUCGUUGGAUUACAUAUCUCAGUAGAAAAUAUGUGCAUCCUUUACUUUGAUACAAUAACAUGUAUCUCAAUUUUAUUUUACCUUGUCAUGAAUAUAAUUUUUUAUGGAUAGAACACAUCGACCUUGACCUUGGCGAUAUAGCGUCCUUGGUGAUCACUUUUCUAUUUACGUCACAUAUUGACAUUGGCAUAUCACACCUUUAUUUUUCAGGGUUUUUAAAAAGAAUAAAUCCGAGAGAACUACAA
This is a long non-coding RNA of Ostrea edulis (European flat oyster), 1295 nucleotides long. RefSeq lists it as uncharacterized. The transcript has 2 exons. NCBI's taxonomy places the organism in Eukaryota, Metazoa, Mollusca, Bivalvia, Ostreida, Ostreidae. The record is from RefSeq and is a predicted model, not a curated record.